Molecule: unclassified non-coding RNA, 342 nt
Filed under: soil metagenome
Description: partial contains 5.8S ribosomal RNA, internal transcribed spacer 2, and large subunit ribosomal RNA
Rfam family: 5.8S ribosomal RNA (bases 1-120)
Source: RNAcentral
GAUGAAGAACGUAGUGAAAUGCGAUAAGUAGUGUGAAUUGCAGAAUUCAGUGAAUCAUCGAAUCUUUGAACGCACAUUGCGCCCCUUGGUAUUCCAUGGGGCAUGCCUGUUCGAGCGUCAUUUGUACCCUCAAGCUAUGCUUGGUGUUGGGUGUUUGUCCUCUCCCUUUUGCGAUUGGACUCGCCUUAAAGACAUUGGCAGCCAGUGUAUUGGUCUUGAAGCGCAGCACAUUUUGCGAUUCUUGCUGAUAAUCACUAGCGUCCAGUAAGCCUAUUUUAACACUUUUGACCUCGGAUCAGGUAGGGAUACCCGCUGAACUUAAGCAUAUCAAUAAGCGGAGGA